AUUGAACGCUAGCGGGAUGCCUUACACAUGCAAGUCGAACGAGUGGCGGACGGGUGAGCAAGAUAUCGGAACGUGCGCAGUAGCGGGGGAUAACUACUCGAAAGAGAGGCUAAUACCGCAUACGAUUGGAGCGGCCGUUGUCGGAUUGGCUAGUUGGUGGGGUAAAGGCUCACCAAGGCAACGAUCCGUAGCGGGUUUGAGAGGACGACCGGCCACACUGGAACUGAGACACGGCCCAGACUCCUACGGGAGGCAGCAGUGGGGAAUUUUGGACAAUGGGGGAAACCCUGAUCCAGCCAUGCCGCGUGUAUGAGAAGGCCUUCGGGUUGUAAAGUACUUUUGGCAGAGAAGCGGUACCUGAAGAAUAAGCACCGGCUAACUACGUGCCAGCCGCCGCGGUAAUAC
RNAcentral lists this ribosomal RNA (405 nucleotides) under uncultured bacterium. RNAcentral describes it as "partial 16S ribosomal RNA". It matches the Rfam family "Bacterial small subunit ribosomal RNA", at positions 30 to 526 of the family's 1533-position model. The record is from RNAcentral.